Molecule: unclassified non-coding RNA, 217 nt
Filed under: Hevea brasiliensis (rubber tree)
Lineage: Eukaryota; Viridiplantae; Streptophyta; Magnoliopsida; Malpighiales; Euphorbiaceae
Source: RNAcentral
GAUUUGGAGCGGAGGAAGAUGAGAGACAUGCGAGGAAUUACUACUGACUUCGCCAUUUUUGGCGACUUGCAGUGACAGUAUCGUUCCUCUUUCUUGGUAAAAACCUUCAACCCACACCACUAAAACAUACUACUUCUCGAGGUAUAAUAUGUAACGGGAUCUUCAAACUUUAAAAAUAAAAAAUUUUCGUGAUUAUGUUGUGUUGAUUGAUUAAGAA